GAUGAACGCUGGCGGCGUGCCUAAUACAUGCAAGUCGAGCGAACAGACGAGGAGCUUGCUCCUCUGACGUUAGCGGCGGACGGGUGAGUAACACGUGGAUAACCUACCUAUAAGACUGGGAUAACUUCGGGAAACAGGAGCUAAUACCGGAUAAUAUAUUGAACCGCAUGGUUCAAUAGUGAAAGACGGUUUUGCUGUCACUUAUAGAUGGAUCCGCGCCGCAUUAGCUAGUUGGUAAGGUAACGGCUUACCAAGGCGACGAUGCGUAGCCGACCUGAGAGGGUGAUCGGCCACACUGGAACUGAGACACGGUCCAGACUCCUACGGGAGGCAGCAGUAGGGAAUCUUCCGCAAUGGGCGAAAGCCUGACGGAGCAACGCCGCGUGAGUGAUGAAGGUCUUCGGAUCGUAAAGCUCUGUUAUUAGGGAAGAACAAAUGUGUAAGAAACUAUGCACGUCUUGACGGUACCUAAUCAGAAAGCCACGGCUAACUACGUG
RNAcentral lists this ribosomal RNA (497 nucleotides) under uncultured bacterium. Its description in RNAcentral is "partial 16S ribosomal RNA". It matches the Rfam family "Bacterial small subunit ribosomal RNA", at positions 28 to 507 of the family's 1533-position model. The record is from RNAcentral.